This 276-nucleotide non-coding RNA is filed under the name Streptomyces sp. NRRL F-6491. Its description in RNAcentral is "partial 23S ribosomal RNA". It matches the Rfam family "Bacterial large subunit ribosomal RNA", at positions 1370 to 1547 of the family's 2925-position model. RNAcentral also lists the same sequence under 1 other name. Lineage: Bacteria; Bacillati; Actinomycetota; Actinomycetes; Kitasatosporales; Streptomycetaceae. The record is from RNAcentral.
CUGCCCAGGGUAAGUCGGGACCUAAGGCGAGGCCGACAGGCGUAGUCGAUGGACAACCGGUUGAUAUUCCGGUACCCGCUUUGAAACGCCCAAUAUCGAAUCAGGCGAUGCUAAGUCCGUGAAGCCGCCCCGGAGCCUUCGGGCAAAGGGGAGUGGUGGAGCCGACGAACCAGACUUGUAGUAGGUAAGCGAUGGGGUGACGCAGGAAGGUAGUCCAGCCCGGGCGGUGGUAGUCCCGGGGUAAGGGUGUAGGACGUCACGUAGGCAAAUCCGCGU